RNAcentral lists this ribosomal RNA (1347 nucleotides) under uncultured bacterium. RNAcentral describes it as "partial 16S ribosomal RNA". It matches the Rfam family "Bacterial small subunit ribosomal RNA", at positions 28 to 1381 of the family's 1533-position model. The record is from RNAcentral.
GACGAACGCUGUUUGCGUGCUUAACACAUGCAAGUCGAACGGAAAGGCCCUGCUUUUGUGGGGUGCUCGAGUGGCGAACGGGUGAGUAACACGUGAGUAACCUGCCCUUGACUUUGGGAUAACUUCAGGAAACUGGGGCUAAUACCGGAUAGGAGCUCCUGCUGCAUGGUGGGGGUUGGAAAGUUUCGGCGGUUGGGGAUGGACUCGCGGCUUAUCAGCUUGUUGGUGGGGUAGUGGCUUACCAAGGCUUUGACGGGUAGCCGGCCUGAGAGGGUGACCGGCCACAUUGGGACUGAGAUACGGCCCAGACUCCUACGGGAGGCAGCAGUGGGGAAUAUAGCACAAUGGGCGGAAGCCUGAUGCAGCAACGCCGCGUGCGGGAUGACGGCCUUCGGGUUGUAAACCGCUUUCGCCUGUGGCGAAGCGUGAGUGACGGUAAUGGGUAAAGAAGCACCGGCUAACUACGUGCCAGCAGCCGCGGUGAUACGUAGGGUGCGAGCGUUGUCCGGAUUUAUUGGGCGUAAAGGGCUCGUAGGUGGUUGAUCGCGUCGGAAGUGUAAUCUUGGGGCUUAACCCUGAGCGUGCUUUCGAUACGGGUUGACUUGAGGAAGGUAGGGGAGAAUGGAAUUCCUGGUGGAGCGGUGGAAUGCGCAGAUAUCAGGAGGAACACCAGUGGGCGAAGGCGGUUCUCUGGGCCUUUCCUGACGCUGAGGAGCGAAAGCGUGGGGAGCGAACAGGCUUAGAUACCCUGGUAGUCCACGCUGUAAACGGUGGGUACUAGGUGUGGGGUCCAUUCCACGGGUUCCGUGCCGUAGCUAACGCUUUAAGUACCCCGCCUGGGGAGUACGGCCGCAAGGCUAAAACUCAAAGGAAUUGACGGGGCCCCGCACAAGCGGCGGAGCAUGCGGAUUAAUUCGAUGCAACGCGUAGAACCUUACCUGGGUUUGACAUGGAUCGGGAGUGCUCAGAGAUGGGUGUGCCUCUUUUGGGGUCGGUUCACAGGUGGUGCAUGGCUGUCGUCAGCUCGUGUCGUGAGAUGUUGGGUUAAGUCCCGCAACGAGCGCAACCCUUGUUCACUGUUGCCAGCACGUUAUGGUGGGGACUCAGUGGAGACCGCCGGGGUCAACUCGGAGGAAGGUGGGGAUGACGUCAAGUCAUCAUGCCCCUUAUGUCCAGGGCUUCACGCAUGCUACAAUGGCUGGUACAGAGAGUGGCGAGCCUGUGAGGGUGAGCGAAUCUCGGAAAGCCGGUCUCAGUUCGGAUUGGGGUCUGCAACUCGACCUCAUGAAGUCGGAGUCGCUAGUAAUCGCAGAUCAGCAACGCUGCGGUGAAUACGUUCCCGGGGCU